Long non-coding RNA from Apis mellifera (honey bee), 3719 nucleotides. RefSeq lists it as uncharacterized. Lineage: Eukaryota; Metazoa; Arthropoda; Insecta; Hymenoptera; Apidae. The transcript has 4 exons. The record is from RefSeq and is a predicted model, not a curated record.
AUACAGUAUCAGUUUUAUGAUUUAAAAAUUUUUAAGAAUCAUUGUUUCUCUUUCUCCCUUAAAAAAACAAACGUAAGUUCUGUCAUAUAGAAGUCAAGAUUAUCCAAGAAUGCUGUGAUCUGAAAAUAUAGAAAUAUCAUUCUCAAAAUGUGAUGUUGAACUCACAACAAACUCGUGGUCUCGUGCGAAAAUCUCUUUUAAUAAUAGAAUUUUGGAGAAUAGAAUCGACACGAGGUCGCUUUUAUCUUGGCAUACCUAUUGGUGCCACGUGCCAUCUCGUUUUUCAACAUUUUGUAUUUUGAUCCCUCACUUUAUAUAUACUCAUAAAAAUAGAGAUUAAUUGAUACAAUACAACAAUACAUAAAAUAACAUUAAUCCAACUAUUCUCAUAUCUCAAUAUUACAAUCUCAAUAGUUCAUUCAUUUUUCAACAUUUCUUAUAAUAGUAUAAAAGAAUACUUUGAUAAUUAUUGAAUACUUUUUUUGUAUCAAGCAAAAUUAAUAUUAUAAUAUUUUUCUAUAUAUAUAGAAUCUUGGACAAUGAUUAUUUGGGCAAUGUUAAGUUCAUUUCCUUAUUCAUUAUUAGAAAUUAUCAAAUGGAACCACGUUGAGCUUCAUUUGUAAAAAUUUGUAAAUUUUCACGAGAUUAUUUUCACGAAAAUUGCCAUCGUACCACCAACCGUGAACCCGGUUCGAUUCUCGACUAAUUUUAACAUUGAAUCAGACGAGUGACGUCAUUGUUAUCACGACUGGGAUCGUAAUUCAGCUGGUCGACUUUCUCGGAAAACGCGUUGAUCGUUUCCACGAUGAGAAGUUUGGAUGAUAAACGAAAUUCCAACGAUGAACCAACCAAGAAAAAUGAUAAACAAUGAAGGUUCAAAUGAUUCGACUGAAUAUAUGGUUUUUUACAACUUACAGGAAUUAGUGAUAAGAAUUGUGAUAAGAAAGUGAAUAUACGUCGCAAGAAUGAUUUCAAAUUAUUCAAAUAUUGCUUAAAUUUUGCAAAUUUAAAUAUUAAUUCUUAUAAGAAUUAAGUUUACAAAACAAACAAACAAAAUAUAUAAUUCAUUUCAAUGACAACUUAUACAUUGUGAGAAUCAUUUGAACUAUAAAAUCAUUCGCACAAAGACUACAGAGAUUAAAAAGAGGAAGACAAUAUAUAAUAAACACAAAGUAUAAAAAUACAGUAAAUUGUUUAUAAUUUAAAAAUAAGCUUCAACCAUUUCAUUCCAUUUAUUUUUUAUACAUCAACUUUUUCUUUUGACAUUUAAAAUCCACAUUAUAGAUUAAUAUCCUGUAUUGUAAUUUUAUUAGUGAAAAGCUACAUUUAAAAAUUUUAAAACGGAAUGCAAAGUGAUACUACACGAAAAAGUAAUAUUAUCCUGAUUCUCAAGGAUAUGUAGAUCGAGUUGGAUCCUUCGAAAGAGGUAACUCUCCGAGGGAAAGCUCGGGUGAGGGCGAGUGGAGGCGCGCUUGUCGCGAUCCUCGGAACCCAGCCAACAACAGGCCGUGGCUUGUACAAGUGUAUUUAGGGUUACGGCGCGUCGCGGCUCCACUGUGGAAAACCAGAGACACCUGACGGCGUGUCCGAUGUUGAACCAUCCGCGAAUUAAUUAAUGCCAAAUCCUUUUUCUUUUUUUUUUUUUUUUUUCCGUUGCUUUCUUUAAGAAAAGUAAAGAAAAAGAUACGUACAUAUAAUUGGUAAUCCUUGGAAUUAUUCGGUUACGUUGAAUAUUCAAUCCUUUAGGGAUAUUUUUAUAGAGAUAUUGAUCUUCGUAUUUUAUAUUCAUAGGUUAAUGAAAUUUAAGAAGAUGGAAUAUUAAAAAGUUGAAUGAGUCCUAACUUAAUAACAAAGAAUAUAAUAAUAUGAAUUAUAAUGAAUUAAAGAUAAAAUAAAGUUGAGCACUAUUUUCAAAAUAAGAUAUAUAUCUAUAAGAUUCAAUUUCUAAGAAAUUUUAUACGUGACAAUUGGCUUUAUUAUAUUAAUAAGAAUACAAUCACGAGGAAGAUUAAGAAAGAGAGGAAGAAGGAAGUUGGAACAACUUGUUGAACAAAGAUAGUCGCACUUUCACUGGAGGAAACGUAAUCUAAAUAGGAUCUGCCUUUGACAGACGGAUAGAAAGAGACUCAAGACGAUUAUCUCUGGAAGGAGAAAGCGAUGAUCCCGUAAAAAUAGGUUUUACACGGUUCAAAGAAGAGCUGACUUCAUCGAUAUUGGUCAAUGAGCCGGUUAAACAAAAUCCUAAAAGAUGUUCUGAUCUAAAAUUUUAAAGAUGGCAAUUCAUUUCAGAAUAUAAAACUCUUGCGUUAUUUUUCAUUAAUGGAGGAGCAUGUUGAAGAAGCAAAGUUAUUUUGGACAAUCAUUAUUGGCAUUGUGCUUCGUUCCAAAAAAUACUUUUGUCGACAAAACUUAUACAAAUACAUUUAAAAAUUACACAGUGCAUCCAUUUGCGAAAAACAUUUUUAAGAAUUAUAUAUAUAUAGUGUCCAUUAACCUAGUGUUCCUUUGCAAAAAAUAUUUUCCAAAUGUCCCGCCCCUCCAUAAAAUUGAAGAGCAAUUCUCGAGAGAUCAACUGUGAAAUAUAUUCACCUCGUCUCAACUAGAGUGUAGCACGACAUCGAAGAAACGCAAUGGUUAAACGAUACAACGAACCGUUUAAAAAUACAUCACGCGGCCAGUCCGCAACGACACGUGGCAAUGAACAAUUUUCCCGUACCCUCUCGAUCGAAGGGUCGUUCACACCUGCAAAUUUCCCUGAUGACGAGACGUUACGUGGAUAUACAUAUGUAUAUGUUGCAGAAGAGAAUGCGCCGCGCCUAGUCACGUAUCCGAUCAGACGAGAAUGGAAUCGGAUGAUGAGCUCGAGCAAGGUUCCGAGACGUUCAAAAUUGGAUGAUUCGUAGGCGUGGACCUAGAAACCCAACGUUAUAUUUCCAUCCAACGUUGGACGAUCCACUCUGUGGAGGCCAUCGAACGUGUCAUCGCCUUUGAGGAGGAUAUAGUUUGUAAGAUCCAUCGGCCCUGUAUAAAUGAAUUUGGCCUUGAAGAAGAAUUUAUGGAGAAUUUGGAAAACUUUGAUUGACGGAAUAUUUACUCAAGGUAUUAGAAUUUAUCUGAAAAAUGUUGAAAUUUUGAAUUUGAAGAGGAUAUAGUUUAUGAAAUUAGGUUAUGUAUGAUUCUUGAAGAAGAAUUUAUUGGUGGAACGUUGAAUAAUGAAUUAGAUUUAGGAGUUUUGGAUUAAAGUUUUAAUAAUUCAGAAAUAGAAUUUUUUUCAAUUGGAUUCAUUUCAUUUUAUAUUUAAUAUUAAAAGAAGAUCAUUCUCAAUAUCUACAAAAACUUGGUUUUGUAUUAUCUAACGUAAUAUAGAAAUGGUUCAUUCUAAUGAACGAAAAUUUCAUCGUUGUCUAACGUCCAAUAUUUGCAAUAUUUUUUCGCACUAGCAACAAGAAUCGACGAACGAACGAUUCUAAGCGAGACUUCUUCCAAGAGCGUAGGCGUGCGAGUAUAAAGGAACGUGGCCAACACAAGUUUUAUAUUUUUAUACAAAAAUUGUCGUCAGCUUAAGCUACUCCCUAUAUAUCACCACGUCUGUGACGUAAAUUAAUGAAAAUGGAAAAUAAUAGAAGAGGAAUUGACGUAAAUCAUCUAUUCUAGUGAAAAUUAAAAAUGAAAGCAUUAAUUUUGAAGAAAUUAAAAUAUAGACAAAAAAUGAACGAUCU